UAUAUAUAUAUACACACACACACAUACAUACACAUAUACACACACAUACAUACAUAGAUAUAUGUACACAUACACAGACACUAGUCCUGGGGUUCGAUUACAAUGUUCAAUCACAUUAUAAUGCACCCAACCCAAUACUGAUGGGACUGAGAGACAGACUUUCAAAAGAAUAAUAACAAUAACAACAAAAGCUUUAACGCGCUUUCAAAAAAUGAUUUGAUGGCGCGAGGCCUCUCUGGUCCCCUGGGGAACACCCUGGUCCUGCUGGUGGACCCUCCAGCUACUGCCCAGCAGAGAUCAUUGUAGGCCUCUCUGGUCCCCUGGGGAACACCCUGGUCCUGCUGGUGGACCCUCCAGCUACUGCCCAGCAGAGAUCAUUGUAGGCCUCUCUGGUCCCCAGGGGAACACCCUGGUCCUGCUGGUGGACCCUCCAGCUACUGCCCAGCAGAGAUCAUUGUAGGCCUCUUUGGUCCCCUGGGGAACACCCUGGUCCUGCUGGUGGACCCUCCAGCUACUGCCCAGCAGAGAUCAUUGUAAACGUGAGUGGGUGUCAUGAGUCACACACUCUGUCCUGAAUACCUGUGUAUCAGGGCUCCUGCUGCCUGACCAAACACGCUGAUAAGCGACGCCUCGUCUUCAGAUACGACCUCUGGCUGAGAAGAGAGGGGGGGCUGAGCGGAGGGCGUCCGGAAGAACUCACACUUCUGUUUGUCCUCCCAGGAUUUAAGGGUGCUCUCAAACGCCUGAAAGAUGCAAAGACACACAGAUGGUGAAGCUCUGGUAGAGUAACGGUACGACUGGUUGCUUGUGGUGCCAAAUUGCGCUUAACAAGAUAUUUGUCAGCUUUUGUGAGUCAAUCUUUACGUAUAGUCGACUGCACACAGGGCUCAAGGACACACACUCGUCUCACAGCUUGAACCCUCCUGGGUACAUUUCCAAUCAUAAAGUAUUGUAUAUGCUACCAAUCAAUUAAAGGCCACCACACAUAGUUCUCAAAGUAAAUGCUUGUGUAUUAACAAUUAAUGGGCAUACAAUAUAAUACACAGUCAUUCCGGUUUGGGGGGCUGAGCCGGGAAAGGAACAAAAUAAUUGUCCAGCACAAAAAGAGUCUCACUGCUUUACUGUAGUGUCAAAAGUUAUGGACUGUUCAGUCUAGUAAAUCCAGUCCGACCAUUACUUUACCACGGAAGCUUUCUCCGCGUCUGAAUACGCUCCAGGAUCUCGUCCUGGCAACUUUCCGCGCUCAACAACCGGAUCGCUCGUAACGCAGACUUUAGUUCGCCCACAUUCCCCUUUUGUCACCCUUUCAGUUGUACUGUGUCUCUGGUGAGGGUCUGGGGUAGUACUGUGUCACUGGUGAUGGUCUAGUACUCACCCGGUCUCUGGUGAGGGUCUGGGGUAGUACUGUGUCACUGGUGAUGGUCUAGUACUACCCGGUCUCUGGUGAGGGUCUGGGGUAGUACUGUGUCACUGGUGAUGGUCUAGUAC
This is a long non-coding RNA of Gasterosteus aculeatus aculeatus (three-spined stickleback), 1488 nucleotides long. NCBI's taxonomy places the organism in Eukaryota, Metazoa, Chordata, Actinopteri, Perciformes, Gasterosteidae. The record is from Ensembl.